GGACACUUGCUAGAUUAACAUUCCUCAAGCCUCAGGGUGGGGCUAUGACAAGGGAGAAAUAGUUAACCUGAAAUAGUUGGUAAUGACAGGGUAGGGCACAGUGACAUGG
Molecule: non-coding RNA, 109 nt
Organism: Arvicanthis niloticus (Nile rat)
Lineage: Eukaryota; Metazoa; Chordata; Mammalia; Rodentia; Muridae
Source: RefSeq, a predicted model, not a curated record